GGCAGGUAGUCAUAAAGCGACGAACGUCCCUUCCACAUGCACACGUCCGGGGCUCUGGCUAACCAGCACGUGGGAGCACCGUCAACCGCAGAAGGGUCUUCAGCACCAUGUUGGACAAUGAAAGAGAUCCGAGUGUCCAGGAUAAAAGAGUUUGACAGUCACAAAGUUGGAAAUGCAGUCGUGGAGCCCGGAAUGCAAAUGUUCCCAGCUUCUCACUUUGUACCUACAAGCACAUUUCUGUGCCACCGUGCGAGCCUUCCUCCUCCAGAACCUUCUGGGGGAGUCAGAGACCGUCACACCUGCCCCCGGCGAUUGUGA
RNAcentral lists this long non-coding RNA (318 nucleotides) under Mustela putorius furo (domestic ferret). RNAcentral's name for it is "lncRNA (ENSMPUG00000026080.1)". The record is from RNAcentral. Lineage: Eukaryota; Metazoa; Chordata; Mammalia; Carnivora; Mustelidae.